UUUUAUUAGUAUAAAUAAUAUUACAUCUAGUUUCCACCUAGAAAAUCUAAUUGAUAAAAUAA
RNAcentral lists this transfer RNA (62 nucleotides) under Mesohomotoma hibisci. Its description in RNAcentral is "tRNA-Gly". The record is from RNAcentral. Lineage: Eukaryota; Metazoa; Arthropoda; Insecta; Hemiptera; Carsidaridae.